GAUGAACGCUGGCGGCGUGCCUAAUACACGCAAGUCGAGCGAACAGAUGAGGAGCUUGCUCCUCUGACGUUAGCGGCGGACGGGUGAGUAACACGUGGAUAACCUACCUAUAAGACUGGGAUAACUUCGGGAAACCGGAGCUAAUACCGGAUAAUAUAUUGAACCGCAUGGUUCAAUAGUGAAAGACGGUUUUGCUGUCACUUAUAGAUGGAUCCGCGCCGCAUUAGCUAGUUGGUAAGGUAACGGCUUACCAAGGCAACGAUGCGUAGCCGACCUGAGAGGGUGAUCGGCCACACGGGAACUGAGACACGGUCCAGACUCCUACGGGAGGCAGCAGUAGGUAUCUUCCGCAAUGGGCGAAAGCCUGACGGAGCAACGCCGCGUGAGUGAUGAAGGUCUUCGGAUCGUAAAACUCUGUUAUUAGGGAAGAACAAAUGUGUAAGUAACUAUGCACGUCUUGACGGUACCUAAUCAGAAAGCCACGGCUAACUACGUG
RNAcentral lists this ribosomal RNA (496 nucleotides) under uncultured bacterium. RNAcentral describes it as "partial 16S ribosomal RNA". It matches the Rfam family "Bacterial small subunit ribosomal RNA", at positions 28 to 507 of the family's 1533-position model. The record is from RNAcentral.